AUUGAACGCUGGCGGCAUGCUUUACACAUGCAAGUCGAACGGCAGCGCGGGGCAACCUGGCGGCGAGUGGCGAACGGGUGAGUAAUAUAUCGGAACGUACCCAAGAGUGGGGGAUAACGUAGCGAAAGUUACGCUAAUACCGCAUACGAUCUAAGGAUGAAAGCAGGGGACCGCAAGGCCUUGUGCUCCUGGAGCGGCCGAUAUCUGAUUAGCUAGUUGGUGAGGUAAAGGCUCACCAAGGCGACGAUCAGUAGCUGGUCUGAGAGGACGACCAGCCACACUGGAACUGAGACACGGUCCAGACUCCUACGGGAGGCAG
RNAcentral lists this ribosomal RNA (319 nucleotides) under uncultured Pseudomonadota bacterium. RNAcentral describes it as "bacterial SSU rRNA". It matches the Rfam family "Bacterial small subunit ribosomal RNA", at positions 30 to 351 of the family's 1533-position model. The record is from RNAcentral. Lineage: Bacteria; Pseudomonadati; Pseudomonadota.